GGAAGGAUCAUUAAACGAUGCAUAUGGCAUUCAUUACCAAUGAAUGAACAUAUAAACCCACCCGUGUAUAAACUCCUGUUGCUUCCGUGGGGCGGUGACCGCCGCCGAAGGAUGGCUUCGGCCGUCCGGAGGAGAGUCCCCGCGGGAGGUAUAACAUAAACUACUUGCAUCUUCAUGCUCUUAGUCUGUACAUAAUCCAUAAACGUUAAAACUUUCAACAACGGAUCUCUUGGUUCUCGCAUCGAUGAAGAACGCAGCGAAAUGCGAUAAGUAGUGUGAAUUGCAGAAUUCAGUGAAUCAUCGAAUCUUUGAACGCACAUUGCGCCUCCUGGUAUUCCGGGAGGCAUGCCUGUUCGAGCGUCAUUAAAAACCAUCAAGCACUCUUGCUUGGACUUGGUGGAUGAGUGCCUACGGCCCUCACUGCCGAAAUCGAACGGCGGAUAGCCUUGGGGUGCCCCAGCGUAGUAAGUCUUCUUUCGCUUGGAACCCGAGGCGGUCCUGCCCCAAACCCCCACAUUCUAUGGUUGACCUCGGAUCAGGUAGGGAUACCCGCUGAACUUAAGCAUAUCAAUAAGCGGAGGAAAAGAAACCAACAGGGAUUGCCUUAGUAACUGCGAGUGAAGCGGCAAAAGCUCAAAUUUGAAAUCUGGCGCCUUCGGUGUCCGAGUUGUAAUUUGGAGGGAUAUCUUCGGGGCUGACGCCGUCCUAAGUUCUUUGGAACAGGACAUCAUAGAGGGUGAGAAUCCCGUGCCUGGAUGGCUGUUCAGCUCCAUGUGAAGUGUCUCCGACGAGUCGAGUUGUUUGGGAAUGCAGCUCAAAAUGGGUGGUAAAUUUCAUCUAAAGCUAAAUAUUGGCGAGAGACCGAUAGCGAACAAGUAGAGUGAUCGAAAGAUGAAAAGCACUUUGAAAAGAGAGUUAAAAAGUACGUGAAAUUGUUGAAAGGGAAGCGCAUGCGACCAGACUCAAUCUUUGGUGAUCAUCUGGGGUUCUCUCCAGUGCACUUGCCAUUGAUUGGGCCAGCAUCGGUUUCGGCGGUGGGAUAAAAGCUUGAGGAAUGUAGCUUCCCUCGGGGAGUGUUAUAGCCCCUUGCACAAUGCCGCCAGUCGGGACCGAGGACCGCGCUUCGGCUAGGAUGCUGGCGUAAUGGUCUUAUGCGACCCGUCUUGAAACACGGACCAAGGAGUCUAACAUCUAUGCGAGUGUUCGGGUGGAAAACCCUUGCGCGUAAUGAAAGUGAACGGAGGUGGGAACACUUCACGGUGCGCACCAUCGACCGGUCCUGAAGUCUUCGGAAGGAUCUGAGUAAGAGCAUAGCUGUUGGGACCCGAAAGAUGGUGAACUAUGCCUGAAUAGGGUGAAGCCAGAGGAAACUCUGGUGGAGGCUCGCAGCGGUUCUGACGUGCAAAUCGAUCGUCAAAUUUGGGUAUAGGGGCGAAAGACUAAUCGAACCAUCUAGUAGCUGGUUCCUGC
Molecule: unclassified non-coding RNA, 1470 nt
Filed under: uncultured fungus
Lineage: Eukaryota; Fungi
Description: sequence contains 18S rRNA gene, ITS1, 5.8S rRNA gene, ITS2, 28S rRNA gene
Rfam family: Eukaryotic large subunit ribosomal RNA (bases 526-1470)
Source: RNAcentral